GCUUGGGAUAUCUGCCAGGAAAAGAAACUGUGUGUUGCUUGAAUUCUCACUAUGAAAGAAUUCUCUACCCAUGUGAGCUGUUCCAGUGUGGUGUCAGUCUUCUGGGUGUGCCGAUGCCUAAUUUAGAUCUUAAGGAAAAUGUGGAACCUGACGUUUUUCUCACUGAUACCCAAACUUCUCCCCAAACUGGCGCCAGGAUGAAUCAUUGGCCGAAGAGAACAAGACACCUAAAAUCUCAGUGGGCAGCUUAUAUUGUGGAAAGAAACCUCGAAGACCUAAAGAAAGAAAACACUUCUGAUGGGCAAAAG
This is a long non-coding RNA of Ochotona princeps (American pika), 308 nucleotides long. RefSeq lists it as uncharacterized. The record is from RefSeq and is a predicted model, not a curated record. The transcript is spliced from 3 exons. Lineage: Eukaryota; Metazoa; Chordata; Mammalia; Lagomorpha; Ochotonidae.